UACGUAGGGUGCAAGCGUUAAUCGGAAUUACUGGGCGUAAGGCGUGCGCAGGCGGUCAUGCAAGACAGAUGUGAAAUCCCCGGGCUCAACCUGGGAGCUGCAUUUGUGACUGCAUGACUGGAGUGCGGCAGAGGGGGAUGGAAUUCCGCGUGUAGCAGUGAAAUGCGUAGAUAUGCGGAGGAACACCGAUGGCGAAGGCAAUCCCCUGGGCCUGCACUGACGCUCAUGCACGAAAGCGUGGGGAGCAAACAGG
Molecule: unclassified non-coding RNA, 253 nt
Filed under: uncultured Gammaproteobacteria bacterium
Lineage: Bacteria; Pseudomonadati; Pseudomonadota; Gammaproteobacteria
Description: contains 16S-23S intergenic spacer region
Rfam family: Bacterial small subunit ribosomal RNA
Source: RNAcentral